GAUACCGUGCUGAAUAUACCGGUUCUCGUUAGAUCACCGAAGUCAAGCAUCAUUGGGCGCGGUCAGUACUUGGGUGGGUGACCACCUGGGAACACCGCGUGCCGUU
Molecule: non-coding RNA, 106 nt
Organism: Caerostris darwini
Lineage: Eukaryota; Metazoa; Arthropoda; Arachnida; Araneae; Araneidae
Source: the annotation of a GenBank genome assembly